Molecule: long non-coding RNA, 223 nt
Organism: Fukomys damarensis (Damara mole-rat)
Lineage: Eukaryota; Metazoa; Chordata; Mammalia; Rodentia; Bathyergidae
Exons: 3
Source: RefSeq, a predicted model, not a curated record
ACGGGACAUUCUGUGGAGACCCAGAGGCAUCUUUCCCAAGAGGCAGGAAAGGGACAGAAUAGAAGUUUGGAAGAGCUGGGCAUCCUUUACCUUGUCUGUGUCAGAGAAAGUUUUCCAGCCGCCCUUCCCAGGCCCCACCAAGCCACCAUCGGGCUGGCAUAUGCGGUUCCUUGGUGCAGUAAUCAAAGAGAACAAGAGAAAUGGAGACUGAAAUGAAGCCGAG